UACGUAGGGUGCAAGCGUUGUCCGGAUUUAUUGGGCGUAAAGAGCUCGUAGGCGGUUUGGCAAGUCGGGUGUGAAACCUCCAGGCUCAACCUGGAGACGCCGCUCGAUACUGCUAUGACUUGAGUCUGGUAGGGGAUCACGGAAUUCCUGGUGUAGCGGUGAAAUGCAUAGAUAUCGAGAGGAACACCGGUGGCGAAGGCGGCCUUCUGGACAGCAACUGACGCUGAGACGCGAAAGCGUGGGGAGCAAACAGG
This 254-nucleotide ribosomal RNA is filed under the name uncultured bacterium. RNAcentral describes it as "partial 16S ribosomal RNA". It matches the Rfam family "Bacterial small subunit ribosomal RNA", at positions 524 to 776 of the family's 1533-position model. The record is from RNAcentral.